CCUANGGGUGGCAGCAGUGGGGAAUAUUGGACAAUGGGCGAAAGCCUGAUCCAGCCACGCCGCGUGUGUGAUGAAGGUCUUCGGAUCGUAAAGCACUGUGGAGAAGGAAGAAUAGGCAAGGGGAAUAAUACCCCUUUGCUCUGACGGUACUUCUUUAGCAAGCACCGGCUAACUCCGUGCCAGCAGCCGCGGUAAUACGGAGGGUGCAAACGUUGCUCGGAAUCAUUGGGCGUAAAGCGCGUGUAGGCGGCUAGUUAAGUCGAGUGUGAAAGUCCUGGGCUCAACCUAGGAAGUGCGCUCGAUACUGGCAAGCUUGAGUACGGGAGAGGGUAGUGGAAUUCCCGGUGUAGAGGUGAAAUUCGUAGAUAUCGGGAGGAACACCAGUGGCGAAGGCGGCUACCUGGACCGAUACUGACGCUGAGACGCGAAAGCGUGGGUAGCAAACAGGAUUAGAUACCCGGNUANUC
This 467-nucleotide ribosomal RNA is filed under the name uncultured bacterium. Its description in RNAcentral is "bacterial SSU rRNA". It matches the Rfam family "Bacterial small subunit ribosomal RNA", at positions 338 to 795 of the family's 1533-position model. The record is from RNAcentral.